CUACGGACCAAAGUGGGGGACCUUCGGGCCUCAUGCCAUCAGAUGUGCCCAGAUGGGAUUAGCUAGUAGGUGGGGUAACGGCUCACCUAGGCGACGAUCCCUAGCUGGUUUGAGAGGAUGACCAGCCACACUGGAACUGAGACACGGUCCAGACUCCUACGGGAGGCAGCAGUGGGGAAUAUUGCACAAUGGGCGCAAGCCUGAUGCAGCCAUGCCGCGUGUAUGAAGAAGGCCUUCGGGUUGUAAAGUACUUUCAGCGGGGAGGAAGGCGUUGUGGUUAAUAACCACAGCAAUUGACGUUACCCGCAGAAGAAGCACCGGCUAACUCCGUGCCAGCAGCCGCGGUAAUACGGAGGGUGCAAGCGUUAAUCGGAAUUACUGGGCGUAAAGCGCACGCAGGCGGUCUGUUAAGUCAGAUGUGAAAUCCCCGGGCUCAACCUGGGAACUGCAUUUGAAACUGGCAGGCUUGAGUCUCGUAGAGGGGGGUAGAAUUCCAGGUGUAGCGGUGAAAUGCGUAGAGAUCUGGAGGAAUACCGGUGGCGAAGGCGGCCCCCUGGACGAAGACUGACGCUCAGGUGCGAAAGCGUGGAGAANC
Molecule: ribosomal RNA, 595 nt
Filed under: Cronobacter sakazakii
Lineage: Bacteria; Pseudomonadati; Pseudomonadota; Gammaproteobacteria; Enterobacterales; Enterobacteriaceae
Description: bacterial SSU rRNA
Rfam family: Bacterial small subunit ribosomal RNA
Source: RNAcentral